This 73-nucleotide transfer RNA is filed under the name Canis lupus familiaris (dog). It matches the Rfam family "tRNA". From Rfam's summary of the family: Transfer RNA (tRNA) molecules are approximately 80 nucleotides in length. Their secondary structure includes four short double-helical elements and three loops (D, anti-codon, and T loops). Lineage: Eukaryota; Metazoa; Chordata; Mammalia; Carnivora; Canidae. The record is from Rfam by way of RNAcentral. RNAcentral also lists the same sequence under 1 other name.
CCCCAUCUGGCUCAGUCGGUAGAGCAUGCGAUUCUUGAUCUCAGGGUUGUGAGUUCAAGCCCCAUGUUGAGUG